AUUGAACGCUGGCGGCAUGCCUUACACAUGCAAGUCGAACGGCAGCGGGGGAGAAGCUUGCUUUUCCUGCCGGCGAGUGGCGAACGGGUGAGUAAUACAUCGGAACGUGCCCUGUAGUGGGGGAUAACUAGUCGAAAGAUUAGCUAAUACCGCAUACGACCUGAGGGUGAAAGUGGGGGACCGCAAGGCCUCAUGCUAUAGGAGCGGCCGAUGUCUGAUUAGCUAGUUGGUGGGGUAAAGGCCUGCCAAGGCGACGAUCAGUAGCUGGUCUGAGAGGAGGAUCAGCCCCACUGGGACUGAGAAACGGCCCAGACUCCUACGGGAGGCAGCAUUGGGGAAUUUUGGACAAUGGGCGAAAGCCUGAUCCAGCAAUGCCGCGUGUGUGAAGAAGGCCUUCGGGUUGUAAAGCACUUUUGUCCGGAAAGAAAUGGCUCUGGUUAAUACCUGGGGUCGAUGACGGUACCGGAAGAAUAAGGACCGGCUAACUACGUGCCAGCCGCCGCCGUAA
RNAcentral lists this ribosomal RNA (508 nucleotides) under uncultured bacterium. RNAcentral's name for it is "partial 16S ribosomal RNA". It matches the Rfam family "Bacterial small subunit ribosomal RNA", at positions 30 to 523 of the family's 1533-position model. The record is from RNAcentral.